This 2020-nucleotide ribosomal RNA is filed under the name Campylobacter coli. RNAcentral's name for it is "partial 23S ribosomal RNA". It matches the Rfam family "Bacterial large subunit ribosomal RNA", at positions 1 to 1876 of the family's 2925-position model. Lineage: Bacteria; Pseudomonadati; Campylobacterota; Epsilonproteobacteria; Campylobacterales; Campylobacteraceae. The record is from RNAcentral.
AGGUAAGCUACUAAGAGCGAAUGGUGGAUGCCUUGACUGGUAAAGGCGAUGAAGGACGUACUAGACUGCGAUAAGCUACGGGGAGCUGUCAAGAAGCUUUGAUCCGUAGAUUUCCGAAUGGGGCAACCCAAUGUAUAGAGAUAUACAUUACCUAUAUAGGAGCGAACGAGGGGAAUUGAAACAUCUUAGUACCCUCAGGAAAAGAAAUCAAUAGAGAUUGCGUCAGUAGCGGCGAGCGAAAGCGCAAGAGGGCAAACCCAGUGCUUGCACUGGGGGUUGUAGGACUGCAAUGUGCAAGAGGUGAGUUUAGCAGAACAUUCUGGAAAGUAUAGCCAUAGAGGGUGAUAGUCCCGUAUGCGAAAAACAAACCUUAGCUAGCAGUAUCCUGAGUAGGGCGGGACACGAGAAAUCCUGUCUGAAGCUGGGUCGACCACGAUCCAACCCUAAAUACUAAUACCAGAUCGAUAGUGCACAAGUACCGUGAGGGAAAGGUGAAAAGAACUGAGGUGAUCAGAGUGAAAUAGAACCUGAAACCAUUUGCUUACAAUCAUUCAGAGCCCUAUGUAGCAAUACAGGGUGAUGGACUGCCUUUUGCAUAAUGAGCCUGCGAGUUGUGGUGUCUGGCAAGGUUAAGCAAACGCGAAGCCGUAGCGAAAGCGAGUCUGAAUAGGGCGCUUAGUCAGAUGCUGCAGACCCGAAACGAAGUGAUCUAUCCAUGAGCAAGUUGAAGCUAGUGUAAGAACUAGUGGAGGACUGAACCCAUAGGCGUUGAAAAGCCCCGGGAUGACUUGUGGAUAGGGGUGAAAGGCCAAUCAAACUUCGUGAUAGCUGGUUCUCUCCGAAAUAUAUUUAGGUAUAGCGUUGUGUCGUAAUAUAAGGGGGUAGAGCACUGAAUGGGCUAGGGCAUACACCAAUGUACCAAACCCUAUCAAACUCCGAAUACCUUAUAUGUAAUCACAGCAGUCAGGCGGCGAGUGAUAAAAUCCGUCGUCAAGAGGGAAACAACCCAGACUACCAGCUAAGGUCCCUAAAUCUUACUUAAGUGGAAAACGAUGUGAAGUUACUUAAACAACCAGGAGGUUGGCUUAGAAGCAGCCAUCCUUUAAAGAAAGCGUAAUAGCUCACUGGUCUAGUGAUUUUGCGCGGAAAAUAUAACGGGGCUAAAGUAAGUACCGAAGCUGUAGACUUGCGCACAACUUAGAUUAUUUAAGUUUAGAAUAUGAGAAACUAAGUUAUAUGUUUAGUUAUAUUUUUACUGAUUUUUAUAGAGUAAAGAUAGAAAUAAAACUUAGUAAAAUCAGUAAAAAUAUUCUUAGACUAAAGUUAAGUAGUUUAAGUUGUGUGCAAGUGGUAGGAGAGCGUUCUAUUUGCGUCGAAGGUAUACCGGUAAGGAGUGCUGGAGCGAAUAGAAGUGAGCAUGCAGGCAUGAGUAGCGAUAAUUAAUGUGAGAAUCAUUAACGCCGUAAACCCAAGGUUUCCUACGCGAUGCUCGUCAUCGUAGGGUUAGUCGGGUCCUAAGUCGAGUCCGAAAGGGGUAGACGAUGGCAAAUUGGUUAAUAUUCCAAUACCAACAUUAGUGUGCGAUGGAAGGACGCUUAGGGCUAAGGGGGCUAGCGGAUGGAAGUGCUAGUCUAAGGUCGUAGGAGGUUAUACAGGCAAAUCCGUAUAACAAUACUCCGAGAACUGAAAGGCUUUUUGAAGUCUUCGGAUGGAUAGAAGAACCCCUGAUGCCGUCGAGCCAAGAAAAGUUUCUAAGUUUAGCUAAUGUUGCCCGUACCGUAAACCGACACAGGUGGGUGGGAUGAGUAUUCUAAGGCGCGUGGAAGAACUCUCUUUAAGGAACUCUGCAAAAUAGCACCGUAUCUUCGGUAUAAGGUGUGGUUCGCUUCGUAUUAGGAUUUACUCCGAAAGCGAAGAAACUUACAACAAAGAGUCCCUCCCGACUGUUUACCAAAAACACAGCACUCUGCUAACUCGUAAGAGGAUGUAUAGGGUGUGACGCCUGCCCGGUGCUCGAAGG